RNAcentral lists this ribosomal RNA (253 nucleotides) under uncultured bacterium. RNAcentral describes it as "partial 16S ribosomal RNA". It matches the Rfam family "Bacterial small subunit ribosomal RNA", at positions 524 to 776 of the family's 1533-position model. The record is from RNAcentral.
UACGUAGGGUGCAAGCGUUAAUCGGAAUUACUGGGCGUAAAGCGUGCGCAGGCGGUGAUGUAAGACAGAUGUGAAAUCCCCGGGCUCAACCUGGGAACUGCAUUUGUGACUGCAUCGCUGGAGUGCGGCAGAGGGGGAUGGAAUUCCGCGUGUAGCAGUGAAAUGCGUAGAUAUGCGGAGGAACACCGAUGGCGAAGGCAAUCCCCUGGGCCUGCACUGACGCUCAUGCACGAAAGCGUGGGGGGCAAACAGG